Molecule: unclassified non-coding RNA, 1182 nt
Filed under: Melitaea cinxia (Glanville fritillary)
Lineage: Eukaryota; Metazoa; Arthropoda; Insecta; Lepidoptera; Nymphalidae
Description: misc RNA ENSMCXG00005003020.1
Source: RNAcentral
CUUUGAUGAGUAGUGCUUAAUUAUUAUCUUCGAGUUUGCGCUCUAACAAUGAAAAUGUGGACGCAGGUGUUCUUAUAAAACGGUAGAACAAAUGUAAAAUAAAUCACUAUCUAACGUUUUGAAUGAAGUUAAUUCUCUGUGUAAUGAUAUAAUUAUAUGUCUGGUCAAAGGUACAGAGCACUUUUUUUUGUGGGCUAGUGUUUUGUAUUAACUUGUUUUAAAAUCGAACUUUGUCCAAUCGGAGUACUAUUUGUAGCCAUUACCUACAAUAAUAAGACCUUAUUAAUUGUAAUAAUUGAUUUUAAGUCUAUAAUUUCAUCUUUAAUUUCAAUAUGAUUUAAAUGCCACUAUCACGUUUGUAGCACUUUUGUACACAGAAAAUAAUAAAAAAUACAAUAAUUUAAUGGUCCAGAUGGAACAGUUAUGCUGUCCGCAUCAACCAUGGUUUCUGCAAGCAGUAUUAAACAUUGAUAUCCUAAACGGGGUGACGCCAAAUCUUGUUUCCUAGUGCGUGAUUAUUGCCACGUAUGCAUAGUCAGUGUUUACAGUGGUCUGUAGAGCUUGAAUAUUCAAUGAGGCGCGGGUAAUUUGCAACAAAAACAUACAUUCAAAUCACAUACCGAUAACGGUUUGCCAUAAUAUGCUAACAAACGUCAAAAAUUACUAUCAUCAUUUUAUUAAACUAGAAUUACGAAACGUAACAUUUCGAAAGUCCUACAAAAUACCUAUUAAAAGAAAAAGAAAAAAUAUACAAAUUUAAAAUGUGGAAAACUAUAUUUAUAGUUUUAAUAUAGUUAUUAUAUUUAACAAGAUUUUACUUUAAGAUUCUGUUGUAAGAGUCCAUAAUAAAGAGAUUAAAAUUUUUAUAUUGUAAUUAAAACUUUCUCUUUUAACUACAUUGUUCAUACAUUUUUACCCACAUAAAAGUGUAUUGAUAUGUCUGUAGUACCUGAUAACACAACAAAUGACUGUUACCAUUCGAUACUAAAAAUAAUUGUGUUUGCUCGCAAACGAAAAAAAAACCGACUUCAAUUACAUCGACAAGUAAUAUAACGUAGAUCGACGAAUCGAAACUCGACGAAAUAGUCAAGCAACCACGCGUUAUCAAAGAUUACUCAAAAAGUAGUUAUCAGAUCUCGAUAAAAUUUAUAUGUGACCACAUGAUAAACAUCAGCUUUCGAU